AGGACGAACGCUGGCGGCGUGCUUAACACAUGCAAGUCACGGGGGGCCCGCAAGGGUAACCGGCGAACGGGUGCGUAACACGUGAGCAACCUACCGAGAUCUGGGGGAUAGCCGGCCCAACGGCCGGGUAAUACCGCAUACGCUCUUUCCACGGCAUUGUGGAUUGAGGAACCUCCGGGGGAUUUCGAGGGCUCGCGCCUAUCAGCUAGUUGGCGAGGUCACGGCUCGACCAAGGCGACGACGGGUAGCUGGUCUGAGAGGAUGGCCAGCCACAUUGGGACUGAGAAACGGCCCAGACUCCGUAGGGAGGCAGCGAGUGGGGAAUC
Molecule: ribosomal RNA, 326 nt
Filed under: uncultured soil bacterium
Lineage: Bacteria
Description: bacterial SSU rRNA
Rfam family: Bacterial small subunit ribosomal RNA
Source: RNAcentral